GUCCCGUUCGUCUAGUGGCCCAGGACAUCUCCCUCUCACGGAGAAGAUCAGGGGUUCGACUCCCCUACGGGAUA
This 74-nucleotide transfer RNA is filed under the name Abditibacterium sp. Its description in RNAcentral is "tRNA-Glu". It matches the Rfam family "tRNA". From Rfam's summary of the family: Transfer RNA (tRNA) molecules are approximately 80 nucleotides in length. Their secondary structure includes four short double-helical elements and three loops (D, anti-codon, and T loops). Lineage: Bacteria; Pseudomonadati; Abditibacteriota; Abditibacteriia; Abditibacteriales; Abditibacteriaceae. RNAcentral also lists the same sequence under 2 other names. The record is from RNAcentral.